CCUACGGGAGGCAGCAGUGAGGAAUAUUGGUCAAUGGACGAGAGUCUGAACCAGCCAAGUAGCGUGAAGGAUGACUGCCCUAUGGGUUGUAAACUUCUUUUAUAUGGGAAUAAAAUGUUCCACGUGUGGGAUUUUGUAUGUACCAUAUGAAUAAGGAUCGGAUAACUCCGUGCCAGCAGCCGCGGUAAUACGGAGGAUCCGAGCGUUAGCCGGAUUAAUUGGGUUUAAAGGGAGCGUAGGUGGAUUGUUAAGUCAGUUGUGAAAGUUUGCGGCUCAACCUCUUCGAGCCGUUGAAACUGGUUUUCUUGAGUGAGCGAGAAGUAUGCGGAAUGCGUGGUGUAGCGGUGAAAUGCAUAGAUAUCACGCAGAACUCCGAUUGCGAAGGCAGCAUACCGGCGCUCAACUGACGCUCAUGCACGAAAGUGUGGGUAUCGAACAGGAUUAGAUACCCUUGUAGUC
This 459-nucleotide ribosomal RNA is filed under the name uncultured bacterium. RNAcentral describes it as "partial 16S ribosomal RNA". It matches the Rfam family "Bacterial small subunit ribosomal RNA", at positions 338 to 795 of the family's 1533-position model. The record is from RNAcentral.